Molecule: ribosomal RNA, 490 nt
Filed under: uncultured bacterium
Lineage: Bacteria
Description: partial 16S ribosomal RNA
Rfam family: Bacterial small subunit ribosomal RNA
Source: RNAcentral
AUUGAACGCUGGCGGCAGGCCUAACACAUGCAAGUCGAACGGAAACAGGAAGAAGCUUGCUUCUUUGCUGACGAGUGGCGGACGGGUGAGAAAUGUGUGGGAAACAGCCUGAUGGAGGGGGAUAACUACUGGAAACGGUAGCAAAUACGGCAUAAUGUUGCAAGACCAAAGAGGGGGAGCUACGGGCCUCUUGCCAGCGGAUGUGCCCAGAUGGGAUUAGCUAGUAGGUGGGGUAACGGCUCACCUAGGCGACGAUCCCUAGCUGGUCUGAGAGGAUGACCAGCCACACUGGAACUGAGACACGGUCCAGACUCCUACGGGAGGCAGCAGUAGGGAAUAUUGCGCAAUGGGCGCAAGCCUGAUGCAGCUAUGCCGCGUGUAUGAAGAAGGCCUUCGGGUUGUAAAGUACUUUCAGCGGGGAGGAAGGGAGUAAAGUUAAUACCUUUGCUCAUUGACGUUACCCGCAGAAGAAGCACCGGCUAACUCCGUG